This 465-nucleotide ribosomal RNA is filed under the name uncultured bacterium. RNAcentral's name for it is "partial 16S ribosomal RNA". It matches the Rfam family "Bacterial small subunit ribosomal RNA", at positions 28 to 507 of the family's 1533-position model. The record is from RNAcentral.
GACGAACGCUGGCGGCGUGCUUAACACAUGCAAGUCGAACGGAAAGGCCCCCUUGUGGGGUACUCGAGUGGCGAACGGGUGAGUAACACGUGAGUAACCUACCCUUUUCUUUGGGAUAACUUCAGGAAACUGGGGCUAAUACCGGAUAGGAGCUCCUGCUGCAUGGUGGGGGUUGGAAAGUUUCGGCGGUUGGUGAUGGGCUCGCGGCUUAUCAGCUUGUUGGUGGGGUAGUGGCUCACCAAGGCUUUGACGGGUAGCCGGCCUGAGAGGGUGACCGGCCACAUUGGGACUGAGAGACGGCCCAGACUGCAACGGGAGGCAGCAGUGGGGAAUAUUGCACAAUGGGCGGAAGCAUGAUGCAGCAACGCAGCGGGCGGGAUGACGGCCUUCGGGUUGUAAACCGCAUUCGCCUGUGACGAAGCGUGAGUGACGGUAAUGGGUAAAGAAGCACCGGCUAACUACGUG